Long non-coding RNA from Pseudophryne corroboree (corroboree frog), 601 nucleotides. RefSeq lists it as uncharacterized. The record is from RefSeq and is a predicted model, not a curated record. Lineage: Eukaryota; Metazoa; Chordata; Amphibia; Anura; Myobatrachidae. The transcript has 3 exons.
UCACAGGCAGUGGUGCCGGCAGCAUGAAGCCUUCUCUCCCCCUCCUCUGUGACAAGCAGUGUACCGACCUAAAGGGGGUGGAGCUACACGGAACCAGUCACCAGGCUGCAGUCUGCAACACAGGAGGAUAACAUGAUACAGCUCUGGCCACCAAGCCUUCUUUAAUAUGAAACAAUGAACCUAGAAGCUGCUGUUACUAUGGUGAUGGGAACACUAACGCCCUGCACUGAACUGCAGGAACGUCAUUCAUGUGCGACGAUAACGGGAGCCAUAACCCGCUUCCGGUGGGGCGGAGUAUGACGGCACCCGGCCAGCACAGCGUCCAUGCACUGGGUGAUAUGCUUUAUAAGACCACCAUAGGUUUUUCUGUGAUUUGGGGAGUCCCAUGGACACACACAGUCUGUAAAACAGCACAGUAAUAUUUCUGUAUACAAGCGAGCCAAUUUCAGCACGGUCUAGGAUCAGUACUCGGCUCUAACCUCUGCUAUUCAUCACUGGGCUGUCCAAUAAAAGUAGGAGGAUAGAGAUAAGAGAUGUUUUUGUAAGUGACAUGCCCAUGUCUACAAAUAGAUUUCUAAUGCAUGCCAGGAUGAGCUGACAA